Lepus europaeus (European hare) is the source of this 454-nucleotide long non-coding RNA. RefSeq lists it as uncharacterized. The transcript is spliced from 3 exons. NCBI's taxonomy places the organism in Eukaryota, Metazoa, Chordata, Mammalia, Lagomorpha, Leporidae. The record is from RefSeq and is a predicted model, not a curated record.
CCUACAAAUGUGUGCACAGGCAGCACACAGACUUUCACUGGCAUCUCCCAGCAGAUUACACACACUGCUGAUUGCAUCAUGGGUGGCCUUUCCACACCAGCUGUGGUUUGCUGAUUUCCUCUCGGAUCCCUUUCCUCUUUCACUUCGAUAAGAAGAAGGACGUCACAGGCACCAUUGAGCUAACAGAAUACAAUGCACGCAAUUUCAGCAACAUUAAUUAAGGCUCAGACGCAGAACAAAGGCAUACAACAGGGAAGAAGAGAAGGUGUCACCGCCCACAAUGAGAUCUGCUUCCUUCCGGGUCAGCGAAUCGCUUCUCUCUGCUAUGGCCUGGGAAAAUGGUAGAAGAUGGCCCAAGGGCUUGGGCCCCUGCACCUGCGUGGGAGACCCAGAAGAAGCUCCUGGCUCCUGGCUUGAGAUCAGCUCAGCUCUGGCCAUUACACCCAUUUGGGGA